AUGCGUAGAUAUCGGGAAGAACACCAGUGGCGAAGGCGCUCUGCUGGGCCAUAACUGACGCUCAUGGACGAAAGCCAGGGGAGCGAAAGGGAUUAGAUACCCCUGUAGUCCUGGCCGUAAACGAUGAACACUAGGUGUCGGGGGAAUCGACCCCCUCGGUGUCGUAGCCAACGCGUUAAGUGUUCCGCCUGGGGAGUACGCACGCAAGUGUGAAACUCAAAGGAAUUGACGGGGGCCCGCACAAGCGGUGGAGUAUGUGGUUUAAUUCGAUGCAACGCGAAGAACCUUACCAGGGUUUGACAUCCUGCGAAUCUCCUGGAAACGGGAGAGUGCCUUCGGGAACGCAGUGACAGGUGGUGCAUGGCUGUCGUCAGCUCGUGUCGUGAGAUGUUGGGUUAAGUCCCGCAACGAGCGCAACCCACGUCUUUAGUUGCCAGCAUUCAGUUGGGCACUCUAGAGAGACCGCCGGUGAUAAACCGGAGGAAGGUGUGGAUGACGUCAAGUCAUCAUGCCCCUUACAUCCUGGGCUACACACGUACUACAAUGCUACGGACAAAGGGCAGCAAACUCGCGAGAGCUAGCAAAUCCCAUAAACCGUGGCUCAGUUCAGAUCGUAGGCUGCAACUCGCCUACGUGAAGGAGGAAUCGCUAGUAAUCGCAGGUCAGCAUACUGCGGUGAAUACGUUCCCGGGCCUUGUACACACCGCCCGUCACACCAUGGAAGUUGGCCACGCCCGAAGCCGUUACUCCAACCCUUGUGGAGGAGGACGUCGAAGGUGGGGCUGAUGACUGGGGUGAAGUCGUAACAAGGUAGCCGUACCGGAAGGUGCGGCUG
This 835-nucleotide ribosomal RNA is filed under the name marine metagenome. RNAcentral describes it as "bacterial SSU rRNA". It matches the Rfam family "Bacterial small subunit ribosomal RNA", at positions 686 to 1520 of the family's 1533-position model. The record is from RNAcentral.